Molecule: ribosomal RNA, 465 nt
Filed under: Vreelandella stevensii
Lineage: Bacteria; Pseudomonadati; Pseudomonadota; Gammaproteobacteria; Oceanospirillales; Halomonadaceae
Description: partial 16S ribosomal RNA
Rfam family: Bacterial small subunit ribosomal RNA
Source: RNAcentral
CCUACGGGGGGCAGCAGUGGGGAAUAUUGGACAAUGGGGGGAACCCUGAUCCAGCCAUGCCGCGCGUGUGAAGAAGGCCCUCGGGUUGUAAAGCACUUUCAGUGAGGAAGAACGCCUGGUGGUUAAUACCCAUCAGGAAAGACAUCACUCACAGAAGAAGCACCGGCUAACUCCGUGCCAGCAGCCGCGGUAAUACGGAGGGUGCGAGCGUUAAUCGGAAUUACUGGGCGUAAAGCGCGCGUAGGUGGCUUGAUAAGCCGGUUGUGAAAGCCCCGGGCUCAACCUGGGAACGGCAUCCGGAACUGUCAAGCUAGAGUGCAGGAGAGGAAGGUAGAAUUCCCGGUGUAGCGGUGAAAUGCGUAGAGAUCGGGAGGAAUACCAGUGGCGAAGGCGGCCUUCUGGACUGACACUGACACUGAGGUGCGAAAGCGUGGGUAGCAAACAGGAUUAGAUACCCCGGUAGUC